AGGAUGAACGCUAGCUACAGGCUUAACACAUGCAAGUCGCGGGGCAGCAUGUCGGUUGCUUGCAACCGAUGAUGGCGACCGGCGCACGGGUGAGUAACGCGUAUCCAACCUGCCCUUCACCACGGAAUAAUCCAGUGAAAAUUGGUCUAAUACCGUAUGAGGUCAUACGAUGGCAUCAGAAUAUGACGAAAGGUUUGGCGGUGAAGGAUGGGGAUGCGUCUGAUUAGCUUGUUGGUGAGGUAACGGCUCACCAAGGCGACGAUCAGUAGGGGUUCUGAGAGGAAGGUCCCCCACAUUGGAACUGAGACACGGUCCAAACUCCUACGGGAGGCAGCAGUGAGGAAUAUUGGUCAAUGGGCGAGAGCCUGAACCAGCCAAGUAGCGUGCAGGAAGACGGCCCUAUGGGUUGUAAACUGCUUUUAUAUGGGGAUAAAGUGAGUUACGUGUAGCUUAUUGCAGGCACCAUAUGAAUAAGGACCGGCUAAUUCCGUGCCAGCAGCCGCGGUAAUACGGAAGGUCCAGGCGUUAUCCGGAUUUAUUGGGUUUAAAGGGAGCGUAGGCCGCCCCUUAAGCGUGUUGUGAAAUGCCGCGGCUCAACCGUGGCACUGCAGCGCGAACUGGGGGGCUUGGGUGCACGCAACGCAGGCGGAAUUCGUGGUGUAGCGGUGAAAUGCUUAGAUAUCACGAAGAACUCCGAUUGCGAAGGCAGCUUGCGGGGGUGCGACUGACGCUGAAGCUCGAAGGUGCGGGUAUCGAACAGGAUUAGAUACCCUGGUAGUCCGCACAGUAAACGAUGGGUGCCCGCUGUGUGCCUUCAUGGUACGCGGCCAAGCGAAAGCGUUAAGCAUCCCACCUGGGGAGUACGCCGGCAACGGUGCAACUCAAAGGAAUUGACGG
RNAcentral lists this ribosomal RNA (897 nucleotides) under uncultured Bacteroidota bacterium. RNAcentral describes it as "bacterial SSU rRNA". It matches the Rfam family "Bacterial small subunit ribosomal RNA", at positions 26 to 916 of the family's 1533-position model. Lineage: Bacteria; Pseudomonadati; Bacteroidota. The record is from RNAcentral.